This 408-nucleotide ribosomal RNA is filed under the name Triticum aestivum (bread wheat). Its description in RNAcentral is "partial small subunit ribosomal RNA". The record is from RNAcentral. Lineage: Eukaryota; Viridiplantae; Streptophyta; Magnoliopsida; Poales; Poaceae.
AUGGGCCCUCAACACCCAUCAAUGCAUGGUGUUCUUUGACUGAUCGUUACUCUCGAUGGUGAGGAUGUUAUUGAUUGUGAACCCAUAUUAGGCUAUUUACACAGAGGAAUGAAAAAAAUCACAGAAAACCGAACUAUUAUACAAUACUUACCUUAUGUAACAAGGUGGGAUUAUUUAUCUACUAUGUUUACAGAAGCAAUAACAGUAAAUGCACCAGAAUUCUUGGAGAAUAUUAAAAUACCACAAAGAGCCAGCUAUAUUAGGGUAAUUAUGUUAGAAUUAAGCCGGAUAGCUUCUCACUUGCUAUGGCUUGGACCUUUUAUGGCGGAUCUUGGCGCACAGACUCCUUUUUUCUAUAUUUUUAGAGAGAUAGAAUGGUGCAUAAUUACUUUCACAUCGAAGGAGUAG